AGCACUUAACUCACCUGUACAGUGUCUAUCUUCUCUGAAGGCUUAGAAGCCCCAGGAGGGCAUAGAUAACACCUGUCUGGUUCACUGCGGUACCUCGAGUUCAGAAAGUGCCUGGCACAUAACAGAAAAAUAAAGAGCUACUAAUAAGUACUGCAAAUAGCAAGGUCCAUGAAAGCAAGACUUUCCAUGGAGAAAAUGGGAGACUGGUUCCCCUUGCUCUGUUUUGAGAAGGCCAAACACAAACCAAGGUAGAACCCAAGAUAGGAGCCACUCAAGCUGCUUCAAAUCAAAGUUGGGCCAGAGGUAAGAUGUUUAGAAUCUUCUUAAUCCUACCAACUAUACAGAUCUUUACUGUUUUGGACAUUUGCUUUUCUUCUCUUGUAUUUAUCCAUGUAAAGUCUUAUUUAAUUAAUGGUUGAAUCUAUACAUAUUUUAAACUCCCCAUUGUUGUAUGAAGAGUCUGUAUGUUAAUAAACUGACUGACUGAUUCACCUUAACUGAACAUUUGGUGUAACAGCUGGGGGCAAGGGAAAUGAAGAGGAAAUGAAGCAAAGACUCCUCCAUGUUUCUGUUCUUCUCUUACCAGGAAAUGAAGACUGUAUCUUCAUGCCCACAGGUGAAGUAGCUCAGCAUCCUUUCCUAUCUGCAUGUAAAUACAUGGACCCAAUAGGUAAAUUAUACCCUAGAACAAAAUGUUUGUAAGUUUUGGGAAAAAAUAAGAUAAUGUGCAGAGACAAACAGAAAAAAAAGUGCUUCCUUUCUCUCCUUCUCCAAACAAUCUGCUAUGUACGAAAGAACCUAAAGAACGUCAAUCCUAUUUCUGCCCUGAAAGGAGAUGCCUUAGGAUCAGAAGGGGUACUUGUUAUACCAUAUGAGUAAUAAGCCAUGUUUGCCUCAAGUCCUACUGGAGAAUAAUGCCAAUUAUCUCAAGGUUUUCCACUUCCAUGAAACUUUUUUUAUGGCUGCCACAUUUAGCAAGUUGUUAAAAAAAAAACCCUGGUUGCUUACUUUAGGGUGAAAACAACUCUAGCUAUUAGGAAGCUAUGCAUCAACAUAUAAUAAAGUUAGCUGAAAUCUAUGCAGCAACAGGGAAAGUGGUAGACUAAACUCUGUGAUCCUACAAUUUGCACUAGCACUGAUUUGAGAGGACAGAAUUCUUCCUUCCUCUCAGAAAGAUGAGAGAUGAUUCUGCCAGAAAUACAGGAAUCUGCAUACUUCCCAAAGAGUAAAAUACAAAUUUAAGAACCUGACAUUAUAAAAUUGUCCUAUUUAAUUGAUUUCAUACCAUUUUAUUCUGGCAGAGAGCUUGCACUUGGGCAAAAAUGGCAUUUUUGACUCCAGUCUACAGGGAUUUUAUAACUUUAUCCACCUGCCCAACACAACUAUGCCAAGGCCGGGAGUGAUGGCUCAUGCCUGUAAUCCCAGCACUUUGGGAGGCCAAGGAAAGAGGAUCACUUGAGCUCAGGAGUUUGAGACCUGCCUAGACAACACAGUGAGACCUUGUCUCUACAACAAACAAACAAACAAACAAAAUAAACAUUAACUAUGCUCUUUGUCACUCAAAC
This 1565-nucleotide long non-coding RNA is filed under the name Homo sapiens (human). RNAcentral describes it as "HSALNT0148681". Lineage: Eukaryota; Metazoa; Chordata; Mammalia; Primates; Hominidae. The record is from RNAcentral.